RNAcentral lists this ribosomal RNA (260 nucleotides) under uncultured bacterium. RNAcentral's name for it is "partial 16S ribosomal RNA". It matches the Rfam family "Bacterial small subunit ribosomal RNA", at positions 95 to 353 of the family's 1533-position model. The record is from RNAcentral.
CCGGCGCACGGGUGAGUAGCACGUAUCCAACCUGCCGUCUACUCUUGGACAGCCUUCUGAAAGGAAGAUUAAUACAAGAUGGCAUCAUGAGUCCGCAUGUUCACAUGAUUAAAGGUAUUCCGGUAGACGAUGGGGAUGCGUUCCAUUAGAUAGUAGGCGGGGUAACGGCCCACCUAGUCUUCGAUGGAUAGGGGUUCUGAGAGGAAGGUCCCCCACAUUGGAACUGAGACACGGUCCAAACUCCUACGGGAGGCAGCAUG